CACGUAGGAGGCAAACGUUAUCCGGAUUUACUGGGCGUAAAGCGCGUGUAGGUGGUUCUGUAAGUAGGGCGUGAAAGCUCCCGGCUCAACUGGGAGAGGCCGUUCUAAACUGCAGAACUAGAGGAUGGUAGAGGGAGGUGGAAUUCCAGGUGUAGCGGUGGAAUGCGCAGAUAUCUGGAGGAACACCAGUGGCGAAAGCGGCCUCCUGGACCAUUCCUGACACUCAGACGCGAAAGCUAGGGUAGCAAACGGG
Molecule: ribosomal RNA, 253 nt
Filed under: uncultured bacterium
Lineage: Bacteria
Description: partial 16S ribosomal RNA
Rfam family: Bacterial small subunit ribosomal RNA
Source: RNAcentral